AUAAUAAAUUGUUUGAUAAAUUUAAACUAGAAUGAAAGGAAUAAAGAAGGUCUACUAUUAACAUACGACUAUCAGAAACUAUAAUUAAGGUGAAAAUUCCUUACAGUAACUCUCAAACGAGAAGACCCUAGAAACUAAUCAUCACAACUUUUUUUGGGAUAAAACUUUAAAAUAAAAGAGUCAUCACCACCUCAAAUAAAACAGUUACUCUAGGGAUAACAGCACAAUAAAAGCCAAGAGAACUUAUCUACCCUUUAGAUUGUGACCUCGAUGUUGAAUCAAGAAUUACCAGCCGUAGAAGGCUAGCAAGUUUCGUCUGUUCGACGAUACAUAAAUACGUGAUUUGAGUUUAAACCGUCGCAAGACAGGUUGGAUUCUCUUUAGAGUUACAACAUAUAACCAUUACU
Molecule: ribosomal RNA, 407 nt
Filed under: Trichinella zimbabwensis
Lineage: Eukaryota; Metazoa; Nematoda; Enoplea; Trichinellida; Trichinellidae
Description: LSU rRNA
Rfam family: Bacterial large subunit ribosomal RNA
Source: RNAcentral